This is a long non-coding RNA of Trichomycterus rosablanca, 563 nucleotides long. RefSeq lists it as uncharacterized. The transcript is spliced from 3 exons. Lineage: Eukaryota; Metazoa; Chordata; Actinopteri; Siluriformes; Trichomycteridae. The record is from RefSeq and is a predicted model, not a curated record.
GCCGAGUCACUGAACGCUAACUUUUCCUUUUCUGCUCUUUGGCUAUGCUGUAGUUCCUCACUGCCAAACAGGUUGUCCAGUUUCCUGCACUUUUCUGCAUCUGCUUGCAGCUUUUUCUGUUUUUCAUCACGGGCUUUUUCUGCUUACGCUUUUUCGACCCUUUCUCCAUCUCGCACUCAUUCUGGUGGUUGUGAUUACGGUUUAUCCUGGGGGAGGGACAUUUCUGUGAUUGGCCAAUGGAUAUGCAGUGAGAAUACUGUGGUGGGCCAAUGCACACUUCAGGAUUAUUAUUCAGGAAUAUUAAAACAGAAUUUAGUUUUCACUCUCUCAGCGGCCCACAUACAGAGCGGCCCACCGGGAAAACUCCCGACCCUCCCGAUGGCCAGUCCAUCCCUGCAGUCAGGUGAAAAGUAGCUUUAAUAAUGCAGUCAACAGAAGAGGGACACGUCACCCCUGUGGAUCUACAAAAUGAAGAAUUCCAGAAGAAAAUAAUACAAAAGGAGGAGGAUGAAGAUGAUGAUGAUUUCUUCUGUGAAGUCACUUUAAUCCCUCCAGAACUUGUU